Long non-coding RNA from Anopheles cruzii, 266 nucleotides. RefSeq lists it as uncharacterized. The transcript has 3 exons. The record is from RefSeq and is a predicted model, not a curated record. Lineage: Eukaryota; Metazoa; Arthropoda; Insecta; Diptera; Culicidae.
GUGCCGCUUAAGUUCACAAAAACCAAAGAUAUUAUCAGCUCUUUUGAAGAUACAAGAUUGUGCGGACACCGAAAAUGAAGUCAGCUCAGAUGCUUAGAUAUGCUGUUCGUUUAAACUAUAUGCAGGUCAAUAAAAUUGCUACGAAGCCAGCGGAUCACGCAACUACUAGAUCAGCGGCUCUGUUGGCAGCUCUUGGCAUUGGGCUCUCGUCGUUCAGCAUGAAGCAAAUGCUUAAAAAAUCAAGCAAAACUAAAAUUUAAUCAUAA